Molecule: ribosomal RNA, 492 nt
Filed under: uncultured bacterium
Lineage: Bacteria
Description: partial 16S ribosomal RNA
Rfam family: Bacterial small subunit ribosomal RNA
Source: RNAcentral
AUUGAACGCUGGCGGCAUGCUUUACACAUGCAAGUCGAACGGUAACAGGCCUUCGGGUGCUGACGAGUGGCGCACGGGUGAGUAAUGCAUCGGAACGUACCCAGAGGUGGGGGAUAACGCAGCGAAAGCUGUGCUAAUACCGCAUGUGAUCUGAGGAUGAAAGCGGGGGACCGAGCAGCAAUGUUUGGCCUCGCGCCUUUGGAGCGGCCGAUGUCGGAUUAGCUAGUUGGUGGGGUAAAGGCCUACCAAGGCGACGAUCCGUAGCUGGUCUGAGAGGACGAUCCGCCACACUGGGACUGAGACACGGCCCAGACUCCUACGGGAGGCAGCAGUGGGGAAUUUUGGACAAUGGGCGCAAGCCUGAUCCAGCAAUGCCGCGUGCGGGAAGAAGGCCUUCGGGUUGUAAAACGCUUUUGGCAGGAACGAAACGGUGUCCGCUAAUACCGGGCGCUAAUGACGGUACCUGCAGAAUAAGCACCGGCUAACUACGUG